Molecule: long non-coding RNA, 313 nt
Organism: Eublepharis macularius
Lineage: Eukaryota; Metazoa; Chordata; Lepidosauria; Squamata; Eublepharidae
Exons: 3
Source: RefSeq, a predicted model, not a curated record
CAGCCCUCAGUAAAAAUAUCCAUGAAUCUGUCAGUGCUCAGAUCCGUAAGAACUUUGCAAAAAGCAAAUGGAGACAAGCAUUUAAUGCCACGGCAGUGGUGAGGCACAUGAGACGGUUACAUCUCGGCAGCAGUUUAGACAGUUCAAACGUCAGCGUGUCAAGCGCCCUCAGUCUGGCCAGACCACACCCCGAGGGAACAGCCAGGAAAGACUGUAUGUCCCCGUCCACGCCCUGUAGUUUUGCAUCAACCGCUUCAUCUGCCAUCUCUGCUGUAGGAGAGAGGAGAACAAGGCAGACCACAGUCACAACGGU